RNAcentral lists this long non-coding RNA (372 nucleotides) under Cyanistes caeruleus (blue tit). Its description in RNAcentral is "lncRNA (ENSCCEG00000013978.1)". The record is from RNAcentral. Lineage: Eukaryota; Metazoa; Chordata; Aves; Passeriformes; Paridae.
AUGUUACACAGUUUUUGUAGUAGGACAGCAACUAUGAAUUUUACUGAUGACAGCCAAAGAGUCAGAACAAGACAAGAAAGAAUUAUGACUGGGCCUGCUCAAGAAGAGGAAAGACUGACUAUUCUUACCUCUGUGAGGGAUGAAUACUACAUCUGCCAGGUAAAUUAGAUAUUGUAUAAACAGCACUAUCACCAUCUUGCCAUUAUGUUUUGUACAGCUUCUGAGAAUACAAAAAUAAUCAAAGCAGACCCUAGGGGUAAGAUAGGCUGAUACGCACCUAGUUUCAAAUUCUGGCUGGUGUGUGUAGAAUGGCUGCAAAGGUCCUGUGUGCCUUCAGAAUAUGGGUACCUAUGCUCAUAGCUGGUAGGGAAG